AUGCUAGCAAUGGAGCAUCAGCAGGAGGAGUCGUGUGUUCCCCCGGGGUUCAGGUUCCACCCCACGGAGGAGGAGCUGGUGGGGUACUACCUGGCUCGGAAGGUGGCCGCCCAGAAGAUCGACCUCGACAUCAUCCAGGAGGUGGAUCUCUACCGGAUCGAGCCAUGGGACCUCCAAGAGAGGUGCGGCGGCGGCGGCAGGGGAGGACGGGGAGCGUGUCAGGUGGCGGAGGAAGAUCAGUCGUUGUCGGAGUGGUACUUCUUCAGCUUCAAGGACCGCAAGUAUCCGAGCGGCACGCGCACCAACCGCGCCACGGCGGCCGGGUUCUGGAAGGCCACCGGCAGGGACAAGCCGGUGAUAUCGUCGAGGAGCCGAGGGGUAAUCGGCAUGAGGAAGACGCUGGUGUUCUACAGGGGCCGGGCACCCAACGGCAGGAAGACCGACUGGAUCAUCCACGAGUACCGCCUCCAGACCAGCGAGCACGCGCCCACCCAGGACGAAGGUUGGGUGGUGUGCCGGGCGUUCCAGAAGCCGGCGCCGAACCAGAGGCCGUCCUACAUCUUCCCCGCGUACGCCGCCGCUCCGGAUUUGGGCGGCUAUUACGACGCGCGGCCCUGGCUGCAGCUGCACGGCCAAGGUGGCGGUGACCUCCAUUACCUGCAGAGCGCCGCUGGCGCUGCCGCAGCCGGCGGCCUCGACGUCAAGUACUCCUCCGAGGACCUGCUGGACUCCAAGCAGAGUCUCUUCGACAAUAUCCCACAGCUUAUCCAGAGCCCGCAGACGACCGCCCUUCUAGGCUGCGGCGACGAUGCCAUCCUCCAGCAGCAGGGACAGGGACAGACGGUGCUCGGAAUCGACUGGAACUUCCUGGACAGCCUGUUGUCCACGUCGCAGCUGCACGAAUACUCUGCCACUGCUGCGUCCCAUCUGCACCUAGAGCAGUGA
RNAcentral lists this ribosomal RNA (945 nucleotides) under Triticum aestivum (bread wheat). Its description in RNAcentral is "partial small subunit ribosomal RNA". Lineage: Eukaryota; Viridiplantae; Streptophyta; Magnoliopsida; Poales; Poaceae. The record is from RNAcentral.